UUCCAGACUCCUACGGGAGGCAGCAGUGGGGGAUAUUGCACAAUGGGGGAACCCUGAUGCAGCGACGCCGCGUGGGUGAAGGAGCGUUUCGGCGCGUAAAGCCCUAUCGGCAGGGAAGAAGGAGGACGGUACCUGACUAAGAAGCCCCGGCUAACUACGUGCCAGCAGCCGCGGUAAUACGUAGGGGGCAAGCGUUAUCCGGAUUUACUGGGUGUAAAGGGAGCGUAGACGGCAUGGCAAGUCAGAUGUGAAAGCCCGGGGCUCAACCCCGGGACUGCAUUUGAAACUGUCAGGCUGGAGUGCAGGAGAGGUAAGUGGAAUUCCUAGUGUAGCGGUGAAAUGCGUAGAUAUUAGGAGGAACACCAGUGGCGAAGGCGGCUUACUGGACUGUAACUGACGUUGAGGCUCGAAAGCGUGGGGAGCAAACAGGAUUAGAUACCCCAGAA
RNAcentral lists this ribosomal RNA (446 nucleotides) under uncultured bacterium. RNAcentral's name for it is "bacterial SSU rRNA". It matches the Rfam family "Bacterial small subunit ribosomal RNA", at positions 329 to 792 of the family's 1533-position model. The record is from RNAcentral.